CGAGGCACAUCCCUUUAAGAACUCUCUGAUGUUGGCCAGGCAAUCCGCUUCAGUCCUCGGCUCCUGGCAGUACUAAAAAACGGCAAUUGCGAAAAAAUAAACCAUUAGCCGACCCGUAUAGUCAGUGAGAGGUCACUGGCAAGGCCCCCGGCAGCCGGUCGCGACAGCACGACGGCAGGAGGCAAGAGUCCAUUACACCGCAGCCGGACGGAGGCGUGUUAAGUUUCCGCGCAGUUGGGGCAAGCGAGCGCCGAUCGAUCCCCCUCUGCCUGCCUCCCUCACACUGGGGAGCUGUCACCAGGAAGACAGCCGUAAAGAGGAAGUGACGACACAAGCCCUCAGCCGGCUCGCGCUGCCACUCGCUCGCGGGGUGCAGUUUGCGCUGGGUCGCCACUGUGUACAAAACACCGAGGGGCGCUGGGAAAGGGACCCACAGCUGAGCAGUUUAAAACAGACCUGUGUUUUGAAAGCAGCCAGGGAGGGUGGAACCAGCUGUCCCGGUUGCGAUGCUGAGGCCGACACCAUCGCAUGUUUUAAGGAACUGCUGAUUCAGGCUCUUGGAUCAAUUAGCCACGAGUAAGAAAAGGAGCUAGUUCUCGUUCUGCACACUUUCUUCUGCUUUGCUGAGGUCCCCGAUGCCGCUCCUGGGCCUGAACUCGGGUCAGGUCGCCCCGCGCUAAUCUAAGUGUCCAGCCGGCAGCUCGGGCCGUAUCUCCUCAACAGAACUGCUUUGCAGGCCAGGACGCCUCAGCGAGAACAACAAGGCUCUCUUCUCCUGCUCCAGGCUGCACCGAGAGCUCGCCCUCCUCAUCGCCUCCCUCUGCUGGACUCGGCAGAGCCGCUGCCCUGUGGUCCACAGACUGUGAUUCGCCAGCUGUGACCAGGAUAUUCCAUUAGGUGGCACAAGACUGGCAGUGUCUGAGGGGGACACUCUGAUGGGCAGGACGGCCUGGCAUUAGUCGGCCUGAGUCUUCUGGUCCUGUGACCUGUCUGGCGCUGACAGGGACUGGUAUGCUCCUCAGAUCAGCGCUGACUCCUCCGUAAGGCACCACGGAGGUGGGUGCGUUCGGAGGGGGCGCGUCUGCGAGCCGGCCUGCUUCCUGUGCGGGACAGGAGUUGUAGCCUUUAGCCGAGUCUUCAACAGCUGCUGAAUCUGACUUGUGUAGUUUUACAACAACAACAACAACAACAACAAAAAAUCAUUGGUGGUUAUGAAUCUGGAGAUGGAGAUUCCCUGUGUCCUGUGGCUUCGGAAGAAUGCAAGGUCCGUGAGUCCCAAGAUGGGCAGUUUCUGGCUCCUGCAACAAGGUCCACAUGCAGGUCUCCAGUGAUCAGCACAUGGCUUCGAACCCCUGUCCAGAACCUACGCAUCUGUGGUCCACAUUGGCCGGUUGUGCCUUCAGCUUCCCCAGGUAUUUCCAUUGUCUCUGAGGGGCUGCAAAAGCACAUGGCCGACGUCCGUUCACCCAGCCCAUUCCUGUCAGAGAGGCCGGCCUCUCCCCCACACCCAGCUGCCUUCCACAGAGAUCCACAGCUGCCUUCUUUCAGGGAAGGUAAUGUUGUCUUGCCAUUUGCUGUUUGACCAUCAGAACGCCUUGGUACCCCCUCAUGGCGGUACAACACUGAUUUGGGGACUGAUUCUCCUGGAUGAGGGGCAACUCCAAGCUGAAAAACUAACUUUCAACUCCCAUAGCAAAAAGACAUCAGAAACGAAAAUUGUCCAGAAAUCGUGGUUCACACCUUCCCCCUUCUCUCAAUGACAGACUUUUUUUUUCGUGUAAUCUUCUCUAUGCACAGGCAGGUACUAACACCUCUCUCCAUUUUGCACCGCCUGAGUGCCCUCUCUGCCUCCCUUCUCUUUCACCAUGGAAUAAACCUAUCACUUGUUCCUUUGCAGCCUAUGCAUGCUGAUCCAGCUGCCCACCUGAACUACUCUAACUGAAAACUUUGUAUAUAUAUAUCCCUGUCACCCUGAAGUGUCACUUCUUCUUUGAGACAGUGUCAAGGUAGAGAAUUGUAAAUAAAGUGGCUCCAAAAAAAAAAACACAGGAGCACAAUAUAUCAAUC
This is a long non-coding RNA of Lepisosteus oculatus (spotted gar), 2067 nucleotides long. RefSeq lists it as uncharacterized. The record is from RefSeq and is a predicted model, not a curated record. NCBI's taxonomy places the organism in Eukaryota, Metazoa, Chordata, Actinopteri, Semionotiformes, Lepisosteidae.